This 2151-nucleotide ribosomal RNA is filed under the name Stygamoeba regulata. RNAcentral describes it as "partial Eukaryotic large subunit ribosomal RNA". It matches the Rfam family "Eukaryotic large subunit ribosomal RNA", at positions 1586 to 3393 of the family's 3401-position model. Lineage: Eukaryota; Discosea; Stygamoebida. The record is from RNAcentral.
CACCCCUAUCGAAAGGGAAGCAGGUUAAUAUUCCUGCACCAGGACGAGGAUACAUGGAUGUUUUGUGGCAACACAACUGAACUUCGAGACGCCAGCAAGAACCCUCGGAAGAGUUCUCUUUUCUUUUUAACAGUUAUUCGUUACCGCAAGGUACUGUACACCUUCUAGAAAGUAUUCUAUACAGGGGUCGUACUGCUCGAGAUGGCCUCGGAAUGGGUUUACCCCGAGAACAGGCUAGAUGACUGGCAAAGCGCUCUCCUUCUGUUGAGCGUCGGGUGCGUUCUUGACGGUCCGUGAAAAUCGAAGGGAAAGAAUCAUUUUCUCGCCUGGUCGUACUCAUAACCGCAUCAGGUCUCUAAGGUGAGAAGCCUCUAGUCAACUGGAGAAUGCAGGUAAGGGAAGUCGGCAAAAUAGAUCUGUAAGUUUGCGAUAAAGAUUGGCUCUUAGGGUUGGGUGUGUGGGCUGCUCGGAAGAAGCAAUCGACCGGACCGCGAAGCUAUAGUGGACUGUUUUUAUUAGUCCUCUCGGGGAUGAACAGAACGGACCGCCGUGGAAUCGUGGACUGGACGAUUGGGGGCGACUUGUAGAUCCAAUCUGAGAUUUUUUUCGGUCCCUCGCGGACUGGGUUUCAGAUUCUCCUGCACACAACUAACAACCGACUAAGAACUGAUACGGUCAAGGGGAAUCCGACUGUUUAAUUAAAACAAAGCAUUGUGAUGGCCGGAAAUGGUGUUGACACAAUGUGAUUUCUGCCCAGUGCUCUGAAUGUCAAUGUGAAGAAAUUCGACCAAGCGCGGGUAAACGGCGGGAGUAACUAUGACUCUCUUAAGGUAGCCAAAUGCCUCGUCAUCUAAUUAGUGACGCGCAUGAAUGGAUUAACGAGAUUCCCACUGUCCCUAUCUGCUACCAGGCGAACCAACAGCUAAGGGAACGGGCUUAGCGAAAUCAGCGGGGAAAGAAGACCCUGUUGAGCUUGACUCUAGUCUGAGUUUGAGAAAUGUCUCCAUUGGUGUAGCAUAAGUGGGAGCUCUUCGGGGCGAUCUUGAAAUACCACUACUCUGGACGAUGUUUUUCUUAUUUAAUUGGGUAGAUAUGUACGCUCUCCUCUGCGGAGGGUUAGUACAACUUCUGGCGUUAAGUGUGAAACUGGACGGUGCUCUCUCCUUCGGGUGGGGGUGCCCUCUCCUCACAUGAACUAGUUUAAAGACAUUCUCAGGCGGGGAGUUUGGCUGGGGCGGCAUACCCGUUAAACGAUAACGCGGGUGUCCUAAGAUGAGCUCAAAGAGAACAGAAAUCUCUUGUAGAAGAAAAGGCUAAAAGCUCAUUUGAUUUUGAUUUUCAGUACGAAUACAAACUGUGAAAGCAUGGCCUAUCGAUCCUUUAGGUUUUGGAGGUUUCAAUCUAGAGGUGUCAGAAAAGUUACCACAGGGAUAACUGGCUUGUGGCGGCCAAGCGCUCAUAGCGACGUCGCUUUUUGAUUCUUCGAUGUCGGCUCUUCCUAUCAUUGCGAAGCAGAAUUCGCCAAGUGUUGGAUUGUUCACCCACUAAUAGGGAACGUGAGCUGGGUUUAGACCGUCGUGAGACAGGUUAGUUUUACCCUACUGAUGAGUACGGAGACAUGCUGUCGCGAUAGUAAUCCAACUCAGUACGAGAGGAACCGUUGGUUCAGAUAAUUGGUAAAUGCCGUUGGCUGAAAAGCCAGUGCGGCGAAGCUACCAUCUGUAGGAUUACGGCUGAACGCCUCUAAGCCAGAAUCCAUGCUAGACAGGCGACGGUGCAAUUCUUGUAGACUGGCCCCCCGUGUCUAGGCGCGUAAGGAUAGAGGUCGAGGUGCGCUCUAGCGUAAGUAGUCGAGGUGGGCCUCUCAAUGGCGUCGGCCCUAAAAAAGCCGGCACGCUGAGAGACCUCCUGCCGAGACCGCCUCCUCUCUCCAACAUCCAUAGAAACAGGACUCGCUUCGGCGUGUCUUGCGUGGACUUGCUCAGUCGGCGUUGGCGAGUACGCCUUCGUCGACCACGAAGUUCCGUAUAGUAAUUUCAGAUAUCGGGUGGGAUUAAAUCCUUUGUAGACGACUUAAGUAUAGAACAGGGUAUUGUAAGGGGUUGAGUAGCCUUGUUGUUACGAUCCUCUGAGAUUCAGCCUUUGUUUCUU